GAACGAGAAAGUCCCGCAAGGGAUGAGUAAAGUGGCGCACGGGUGAGUAACACGUAGCUAACCUGCCUUCCAGUGGGGGAUAACCUGGGGAAACUCGGGCUAAUACCGCAUAACAUCCGGGUUGCACAAGCAGCUUGGAGCAAAGGCCCGCAAGGGCCGCUGGAGGAGGGGGCUGCGGCCGAUUAGCUAGUUGGUGAGGUAAUGGCUCACCAAGGCGAUGAUCGGUAGCCGGCCUGAGAGGGCGCACGGCCACACUGGCACUGAAACACGGGCCAGACUCCUACGGGAGGCAGCAGUGGGGAAUUUUGCACAAUGCCCGAAAGGGUGAUGCAGCAACGCCGCGUGAGGGAUGAAGGCCUUCGGGUCGUAAACCUCUUUCGACCGGGAAAAAUGGACGCGUGAAAAGCGCGUUCUGAUGGUACCGGUGGAAGAAGCCCCGGCCAACUACGUG
This 451-nucleotide ribosomal RNA is filed under the name uncultured bacterium. Its description in RNAcentral is "bacterial SSU rRNA". It matches the Rfam family "Bacterial small subunit ribosomal RNA", at positions 64 to 507 of the family's 1533-position model. The record is from RNAcentral.